UAUCAAAGAAUCUUGAUCAUAUUCUGAGAUUUAAAAAAAAUGUUUCCUUAUUUAAAAUAAUUCAUUUUAAAGCAGAAAGAUCAUUUUGUCUAUUUGACUUGGAGGUUUCACAAUUGUAUGACAUUAUUUUUGAUCUUUCAAUUUAAAUAUGACUAUUUAUCUUACCUCCUAUACAUUUCUAGGAAUGUGAUUGGUUAAAAGCGCCCUCGUGGAGACCGUGUAUAUUUGAUAUUAGGUUAGUAGGGAGGCGGGGCUUAUCUCAUACACGGUUAGUAGUGGAGUUACGUCCCUUUAUAUUCCAUAUAAGGUAGUAGGGAGGCGGGGCUUAUUUCAUACACGGUUAGUAGUGGUGUUACGUCCCUUUAUAAAAACAAACCGGUACUGAGAAAAAAAUCGUAAAGGUUUAAACAGACGAAGAAAUUGAUGAUUAAGAGUGAAAUAAAUUAUUUCAUAUAACACAUUGAAACCUCACAACAAGGAUUUGUAUAGUGAGAAGGAUUGGAAUCUCGCGGUAUCUCGUUAGUUCACGCGUAUCGUGAGAAGUCAUAAACUCGCCACUUAUACCAGGAUACUCGCUUGUAUUGUAAAUAUCCGGUUUUAUCGCUUGGUUGACAACGUUAUGAAAA
This 626-nucleotide long non-coding RNA is filed under the name Mytilus galloprovincialis (Mediterranean mussel). Lineage: Eukaryota; Metazoa; Mollusca; Bivalvia; Mytilida; Mytilidae. The record is from RNAcentral.